This 484-nucleotide ribosomal RNA is filed under the name uncultured bacterium. Its description in RNAcentral is "partial 16S ribosomal RNA". It matches the Rfam family "Bacterial small subunit ribosomal RNA", at positions 899 to 1397 of the family's 1533-position model. The record is from RNAcentral.
ACUCAAAUGAAUUGACGGGGACCCGCACAAGCAGUGGAGGAUGCGGUUUAAUUCGAUGCUACGCGAAGAACCUUACCGAGGCUUGACAUCCUGAGAAUCCCGCCGAAAGGUGGGAGUGCCUUCGGGAAUUCAGUGACAGGUGCUGCAUGGCCGUCGUCAGCUCGUGUCGUGAGAUGUUGGGUUAAGUCCCGCAACGAGCGCAACCCUUGUCGUGUGUUGUAUUUUCACACGAGACUGCCCGGGCCAACCGGGAGGAAGGUGGGGAUGACGUCAGGUCUGCAUGGCCCUUACGCCUCGGGCUACACGCGUCCUACAAUGGCCGGUACAACGCGUUGCCAACCCGCGAGGGGGAGCUAAUCGCAACAAAACCGGUCUCAGUUCGGAUUGUAGGCUGCAACUCGCCUACAUGAAGUUGGAAUUGCUAGUAACCGUAGGUCAGCAUACUACGGUGAAUACGUUCCCGGGUCUUGUACACACCGCCCGU